CCCUUAGAUGUUCUGGGCCGCGCGCGUGCUACACUGAACGGUUCAAUGGGUAAGGUAGUGCGAAAGCAUGACCUAAUCUCGAAAUCCGUUCGUGCUGGGGAUAGAAGCUUGCAAUUAUCCUUCUUGAACGAGGAAUACCUUGUAAGCGUGAGUCAUCAUCUCACGCUGAAUACGUCCCUGCCCUUUGUACACACCGCCCGUCGCUCCUACCGAUUGAGUGUUCCGGUGAGGCUUUGGGAGAAUGGCCUCAACAUGAGUUUAUCGUGUUUUGCCGUUUGAACUUAGUCAAACCUUAUCACUUAGAGGAAGGAGAAGUCGUAACA
Molecule: ribosomal RNA, 323 nt
Filed under: uncultured eukaryote
Lineage: Eukaryota
Description: partial 18S ribosomal RNA
Rfam family: Eukaryotic small subunit ribosomal RNA
Source: RNAcentral